CCAGACUCCUACGGGAGGCAGCAGUGGGGAAUAUUGCACAAUGGGGGGAACCCUGAUGCAGCGACGCCGCGUGGGUGAAGGAGCACCCCGGUGCGUAAAGCCCUAUCGGCAGGGAAGAAACAGACGGUACCUGACUAAGAAGCCCCGGCUAACUACGUGCCAGCAGCCGCGGUAAUACGUAGGGGGCAAGCGUUAUCCGGAUUCACUGGGUGUAAAGGGAGCGUAGACGGCGACGCAAGUCUGGAGUGAAAGCCCGGGGCCCAACCCCGGGACUGCUCUGGAAACUGCGGCGCUGGAGUACGGGAGGGGCAGGCGGAAUUCCUGGUGUAGCGGUGAAAUGCGUAGAUAUCAGGAGGAACACCGGCGGCGAAGGCGGCCUGCUGGACCGUGACUGACGUUGAGGCUCGAGAGCGUGGGGAGCAAACAGGAUUAGAUACCCUAGUA
RNAcentral lists this ribosomal RNA (444 nucleotides) under uncultured bacterium. RNAcentral's name for it is "partial 16S ribosomal RNA". It matches the Rfam family "Bacterial small subunit ribosomal RNA", at positions 331 to 792 of the family's 1533-position model. The record is from RNAcentral.